Molecule: long non-coding RNA, 3196 nt
Filed under: Cinara cedri
Lineage: Eukaryota; Metazoa; Arthropoda; Insecta; Hemiptera; Aphididae
Source: RNAcentral
GGAACAAAGUUUUAUUAUAAAUCAUUCAAAGAUCUUAUGAACAAAUAUAAUAUUAAACAUUAUACAACAUACAGUAAUGUAAAGGCUGAAAUGGUUGAAUGUGUAUAACUUAAAAGGACAAUAUAAAAUACAAUUUGCAAACAUUUUAGAUCAUUAGGGUCUUGGAUUUGGAAGGACUCAAUAUCAAAACUAAUAAUUAAUUAUAAUAAUACUAUAUAUUUAAUGAUUAAAUGUACACCACUUGAAGCUAGAAAAAAACAAUUAUUUAGGUUAAAAAAUAUAAAAAUAUGAAAACCUUAAUUUAAAAUUAAUGAUAAGGUUAGAAUAUUUAUAUAAAAGCAUGCAUUUAGUAAGGGGUGUACAGCAAAUUGGAUUACAGAGGUAUUUAAAAUAUCAAAGGUUUUAAGCACUUUUCUAAAUGUAUAUUAGCUUAAAUAUGGAACAAAUAAUACAAUUUUGGGAUGCAUUAAUGAACAAAAAUUUAUAAAUAACCAAUUUCUCAAAAUCCUUUCUUACUGAACAUAUUUUCAAAAUAAGCAUAAUAUAUAUGUAAAGUGGUUGGGUUUUGACAACAGCCACAAUUCAUGAAUUGAAAAAUAAUUGUAAAGCCUAAAUUUGUUAAAAGAAACUAAAUUACAAAUUAAAUGUUUUAAAUUUAUUUAUAAUAUUAAAAAGAUAUUGAAAUUUAUUUUUGUAAUCUUUUUAAUUUAUAGUGACCAUAAUAUGUUAAUUUUUUAACUGUUUUAGAAUAGAGAAAAUGAUAACACAAUUGAAUUAUGUUUAUACUAUUAUAAAUUUUAUUUGAAGAAUCUCAUUUGUUACAAAUACUACUAAUACUAGUGGUUUUUAUAAUUAAUAAAAGUAAUUUUACAAAAGACAGAUUUUAAAGUAUAUCCUGCUAUAAAAAUCAAAAAUGUAACUUAUUAACAUGAACUUUGUGUUAUAUUUUUAUUAACAAAUAAUAAGUAACGAAAAACAAAAAUAAUUGUUCUACUCUUGACAUAUGUAAUAAAAUACUAAAAAUAAAAAAAUAAACUGUACUUAUAAUACAUUUUUACUCAUAAUAAGUAAUGUUUAAACACUUAUAACAUUUUGCUUUUAUCUUUAAUAAUGUAAUUAUACUAUAAAAUAAUAAUAAGACAUUUGUUUUAUAUUCAUUAAUAAAUGAAAUUUAACAUUUUUAAACUUAAUUUAACAGUAACUACAAAACGGCACAUAGUAAUUUCUUGUUAAAUUAUCAAAACAAAAGGAACUUCAGUUUCCUUAUCAUGUAAGGAAACUAGUGGUUUAGGUUUUUUUCUUAAUCAUGACGAAAACAUCAAAAAAGUUAACAGAAUAAUUUUGAAUGACCGUGAAGUGAAGUUGAUCGAGAUAGCAGACAUUGUGAAGAUAUCAUCUGGACAUGUACAUCAUAUCAUUCACGAAUAUUUAUACAUGAGAAAUCUGUGUGCAAAAUGGGUGCCGCGCGAGCUCACAAUCGAUCAAAAGCAACAACGUGUUAAUGAUUCUGAGCAGUGUUUGAAGCUGUUCAAUCGCAAUAAACCUGAACUUUUACGUCAAUAUGUGACAAUGGAUGAAACAUUGGCUCCAUCAUUUCACUCCGGAGUCCAAUUGACAAUCAGCUGAGGUUCCUGCACACGAUGAACCGAAUCCAAAGCGAGGAAAAACACAACAGUCAGCUGGCAAGGUUAUGGCAUCAGUAUUCUGGGAUGCGUAAGGUAAAAUAUUCAUUGAUUACCUCCAAAAGGGCCAGACUGUCAACAGCGAUUAUUAUAUAGCAUUAUUGGAUUGUUUAUAGGAUGAAAUCGUUAAAAACGGCCUCAUCUGAAGAAGAAAAAAGUGCUGUUUUAUCAAGACAAUGCACUGUGUUACAAAUCAAUGAAAACAAUGGCAAAAUUGCAUGAAUUGGGUUUCAAAUUGCUUCCACAUCCACCAUAUUCGCCAGAUCUGACCCCCAGCGACUUUUUCCUGUUUUCAGACCUCAAAAGAACCCUUACUGGAAAGGAAUUUAGCGUCAAUGAAGAAGUAAUCGCCAAAACUGAGGCCUAUUUUGAAGCAAAAGACAAAUCGUACUACAAAUUUUGCCAUUGUUUUCAUUGAUUUGUAACACAGUGCAUUGUCUUGACGAAACAGCACUUCUUUCUUCUUCAGAUGAGGCCGUUUCUAACGAAUUCAUCCUUUAAACAAUCCAAUAAUGCUAUAUAAUAAUCGCUGUUGAUAGUCUGGCCCUUUUGGAGGUAAUCAAUGAAUAUUUUACCUUGCGCAUCCCAGAAUACUGAUGCUAUAACCUUGCCAGCUGACUGUUGUGUUUUUCCUCGCUUUGGAUUUGGUUCAUCAUGUGUAGUAACUUCAGCUGACUGUCAAUUGGACCUCGGGGUGAAAUAUGGAGCCAAAGUUUCAUCCAUUGUCACAUAUUGACGUAAAAGUUCAGGUUUAUUGCGAUUGAACAGCUUCAAACACUGCUCAGAAUCAUUAACACGUUGUUGCUUUUGAUCGAUUGUGAGCUCGCGCGGCACCCAUUUUGCACACAGAUUUCUCAUGUAUAAAUAUUCGUGAAUGAUAUGAUGUACAUGUCCAGAUGAUAUCUUUACAAUAUCUGCUAUCUCGAUCAACUUCACUUUACGGUCAUUCAAAAUUAUUCUGUUAACUUUUUUGAUGUUUUCGUCAUGAUUAAGAAAAAAACCUAAACCACUAGUUUCCUUACAUGAUAAGGAAACUGAAGUUCCUUUUGUUUUGAUAAUUUAACAAGAAAUUACUAUGUGCCGUUUUGUAGUUACUGUUAAAUUAAGUUUAAAAAUGUUAAAUUUCAUUUAUUAAUGAAUAUAAAACAAAUGUCUUAUUAUUAUUUUACAGUAUAAUUACAUUAUUAAAGAUAAAAGCAAAAUGUUAUAAGUGUUUAAACAUUACUUAUUAUGAGUAAAAAUGUAUUAUAAGUACAGUUUAUUUUUUUAUUUUUAGUAUUUUAUUACAUAUGUCAAGAGUUUAACAAUUAUUUUUGUUUCUCGUUACUUAUUAUUUGUUAAUAAAAAUAUAACACAAAGUUCAUGUUAAUAAGUUACAUUUUUGAUUUUUAUAGCAGGAUAUACUUUAAAAUCUGUCUUUUGUAAAAUUACUUUUAUUAAUUAUAAAAACCACUAGUAUUAGUAGUAUUUGUAACAAAUGAGAUUCUUCAAAUAAAAUUUAUAAUAGUAUAAAC